GGUUGGGCCUCGCGCAACGGUAAUCCGUGAACCCCGCCAGAUCCGGAAGGAAGCAACGGUAAGCGGCCGUCCCGUGUGCCGCGAGCCACCUGGUCCUC
Molecule: signal recognition particle RNA, 98 nt
Rfam family: Bacterial small signal recognition particle RNA
About the family: The signal recognition particle (SRP) is a universally conserved ribonucleoprotein involved in the co-translational targeting of proteins to membranes. Archaeal SRP consists of a 7S RNA and homologues of the eukaryotic SRP19 and SRP54 proteins. In most bacteria, the SRP consists of a 4.5S RNA and the Ffh protein (a homologue of the eukaryotic SRP54 protein).